Molecule: long non-coding RNA, 216 nt
Filed under: Elaeis guineensis (African oil palm)
Lineage: Eukaryota; Viridiplantae; Streptophyta; Magnoliopsida; Arecales; Arecaceae
Description: long non-coding RNA (EGUI_LNC043210)
Source: RNAcentral
GGAUAUUUAGGAGGACUCCUAUAAGGUAUCAUCUGAGGUCGACCCAAAGUCACUUUGCGGUGAUUUUUGCCAAGUUAUUAUAGGUCUCCACCUGGCUCAUCCGUAGACGAAGAGCGUCAAAUGGUUGCAUGGGGUCCCCAGUGGUUAGCCCCUUUGUAGUCAUUAUCAUCAGCCUUUGCUUGGAUUGUCUAUGAAUGAUGAGUGCCAAAUAGCCGC